GAUGAAGAACGCAGCGAAAUGCGAUAAGUAAUGUGAAUUGCAGAAUUCAGUGAAUCAUCGAAUCUUUGAACGCAUCUUGCGCUCCUUGGUAUUCUGAGGAGCAUGCCUGUUUGAGUGUCAUUAAAUUCUCAACUACACUGACUUUGAAUUGGUGUGGCUUGUAUUUGGGGGGAAAAUUGUUGUGGGCUUUUUGUAUAGUCUGCUCCCCUGAAAUUGAUUAGCGGUACCUUUGUGGAACUGUCUACAGGUGUGAUAAUUAUCUACAUCUUAGACAUCUGCUGGAAUGCUGCUUUCUAAACCUUACUUGUAUUGACAAUCUUGACCUCAAAUCAGGUAGGACUACCCGCUGAACUUAAGCAUAUCAAUAAGCGGAGGA
Molecule: unclassified non-coding RNA, 376 nt
Filed under: soil metagenome
Description: partial contains 5.8S ribosomal RNA, internal transcribed spacer 2, and large subunit ribosomal RNA
Rfam family: 5.8S ribosomal RNA (bases 1-120)
Source: RNAcentral